Lontra canadensis (Northern American river otter) is the source of this 297-nucleotide long non-coding RNA. RefSeq lists it as uncharacterized. The transcript is spliced from 4 exons. The record is from RefSeq and is a predicted model, not a curated record. Lineage: Eukaryota; Metazoa; Chordata; Mammalia; Carnivora; Mustelidae.
ACAAAGAGAGAACAUAAGGUUUCCCUUGCUGAAGUACAUAAAUUGAAAGAGAACAUCAAGAAGGUGGAAGAGAUUAAUGAAAAUUUGAAGGACACCCUUCAUCGUAAACAGGCUCUCCUACAAGCUGAGAGAGAAAAGAAUAUCAAGAACAUAGACAUGGUCCAAGAUGAAUUGUGAGAUCAAGAGCUGAGAGCCUUGACAUCCAAAAAGCAAGAACUGAAAGAAAGUAAAAAGUUCCUGGAAGACAAGUGUAAUGCCCCGAGUUCUCAGAAAACAGCUAAAGAAGCAGAAUUGAAC